This 301-nucleotide ribosomal RNA is filed under the name uncultured bacterium. Its description in RNAcentral is "partial 16S ribosomal RNA". It matches the Rfam family "Bacterial small subunit ribosomal RNA", at positions 509 to 807 of the family's 1533-position model. The record is from RNAcentral.
CAGCCGCCGCGGUAAUACGAAGGGGGCUAGCGUUGUUCGGAAUUACUGGGCGUAAAGCGCACGUAGGCGGAUAUUUAAGUCAGGGGUGAAAUCCCGCAGCUCAACUGCGGAACUGCCUUUGAUACUGGGUAUCUUGAGUAUGGAAGAGGUAAGUGGAAUUCCGAGUGUAGAGGUGAAAUUCGUAGAUAUUCGGAGGAACACCAGUGGCGAAGGCGGCUUACUGGUCCAUUACUGACGCUGAGGUGCGAAAGCGUGGGGAGCAAACAGGAUUAGAUACCCCGGUAGUCCCUGUCUCUUAUAC